This 401-nucleotide ribosomal RNA is filed under the name uncultured Alphaproteobacteria bacterium. Its description in RNAcentral is "bacterial SSU rRNA". It matches the Rfam family "Bacterial small subunit ribosomal RNA", at positions 42 to 500 of the family's 1533-position model. The record is from RNAcentral. Lineage: Bacteria; Pseudomonadati; Pseudomonadota; Alphaproteobacteria.
GCAGGCUUAACACAUGCAAGUCGAACGAUAUAGUGGCAGACGGGUGAGUAACGCGUGGAAACGUGCCUUUCACUACGGAAUAGCUCUUGGAAACGAGUGGUAAUACCGUAUACGCCCUUCGGGGGAAAGAUUUAUCGGUAAAGAUCGGUCCGCGUUAGAUUACCUAGUUGGUGAGGUAAAAACUCACCAAGGCGACGAUCUAUAGCUGGUCUGAGAGGAUGAUCAGCCACCCUGGGACUGAGACACGGCCCAGACUCCUACGGGUGGCAGCAGUGGGGAAUAUUGCACAAUGGGCGCAAGCCUGAUGCAGCCAUGCCGCGUGAAUGAUGAAGGCCUUAGGGUUGUAAAAUUCUUUCGCCAAGGAUGAUAAUGACAGUACUUGGUAAAGAAGCCCCGGCUAA